CAGGUGCUGCAUGGCUGUCGUCAGCUCGUGUUGUGAGAUGUUGGGUUAAGUCCCGCAACGAGCGCAACCCUUGUCCUUAUUUGCCAGCACGUAAUGGUGGGAACUCUAAGGAGACUGCCGGUGACAAACCGGAGGAAGGUGGGGAUGACGUCAAGUCAUCAUGGCCCUUACGGGUGGGGCUACACACGUGCUACAAUGGUAGGUACAGAGGGCUGCAACCCGGCGAGGGUAAGCAAAUCCCAAAAACUCUGUCUCACUCCGGAUUGAAGUCUGCAACUCGACUCCUUGAAUUCGAAAUCGCUAGUAAUCGCAAAUCAAAAUUGCU
This 325-nucleotide ribosomal RNA is filed under the name uncultured bacterium. Its description in RNAcentral is "bacterial SSU rRNA". It matches the Rfam family "Bacterial small subunit ribosomal RNA", at positions 1035 to 1358 of the family's 1533-position model. The record is from RNAcentral.